CAAUAGCGUAUAUUUAAGUUGCUGCAGUUAAAAAGCUCGUAGUUGGAUUUCGGGUGGGAAUGGCCGGUCCGCCGUUUCGGUGUGCACUUGCUACGCCCACCUUGCUGCCGGGGACGUGCUCUUGAGUUCACGCUCGGGACACGGAGUCGGCGAGGUUACUUUGAGUAAAUUAGAGUGUUCAAAGCAGGCCUACGCUCUGAAUACAUUAGCAUGGAAUAACACGAUAGGACUCUGGCCUAUCUUGUUGGUCUGUAGGACCGGAGUAAUGAUUAAGAGGGACAGUCGGGGGCAUUCGUAUAUCAUUGUCAGAGGUGAAAUUCUUGGAUUUAUGAAAGACGAACUACUGCGAAAGCAUUUGCCAAGGAUGUUUUCAUUAA
This 377-nucleotide ribosomal RNA is filed under the name uncultured eukaryote. Its description in RNAcentral is "partial 18S ribosomal RNA". It matches the Rfam family "Eukaryotic small subunit ribosomal RNA", at positions 592 to 976 of the family's 1831-position model. The record is from RNAcentral.